RNAcentral lists this ribosomal RNA (431 nucleotides) under uncultured bacterium. Its description in RNAcentral is "bacterial SSU rRNA". It matches the Rfam family "Bacterial small subunit ribosomal RNA", at positions 30 to 506 of the family's 1533-position model. The record is from RNAcentral.
UUGAACGCUGGCGGCAUGGCUAAAACAUGCAAGUCGAACGGAUCCGCAAGGAUCAGUGGCGGAAGGGUCAGUAAUACGAUCGAAUGUACCCCGAGGUGAGGGAUAGGCACGGGAAACUGUGCGUAAUACCUCAUGUGCACUUAGGUGGAAAGAUUUAUCGCCUUGGGAGCAGCGAUUGUCCUAUCAGGUAGUUGGCGGAGUAAUAGCCCACCAAGCCAAAGACGGGUAGCGGGUGUGAGAGCACGGCCCGCGACAUCGGGACUGAGACACUGCCCGGACUCCUACGGGAGGCUGCAGUAACGAAUAUUCCGCAAUGGACGAAAGUCUGACGGAGCAAUGCCGCGUGCAGGAUGAAGCGGUUUCGCCGUGUAAACUGCUGUCAGGGGCAGGAAAAACUGAUCCGCCCCAAAGGAAGAGACGGCUAACCCUGU